Daucus carota subsp. sativus is the source of this 1665-nucleotide RNA transcript. It is a transcript of the gene named probable prolyl 4-hydroxylase 9, with no coding region annotated. The record is from RefSeq and is a predicted model, not a curated record. The transcript has 8 exons. NCBI's taxonomy places the organism in Eukaryota, Viridiplantae, Streptophyta, Magnoliopsida, Apiales, Apiaceae.
GCCUAAUAAUCGAAUCUGAGGAGAAAAACAUGGCAGAUAGCAUCUCUCUAAAGUGCCAAAACCUGACAAAAGUAAUGUCCCCAACGUACGGGAAAUGAAUCCAGUGAGCUUCCACUCAGACUCACCUGCAGUGUUGAUCAAUAAAUCGUGUUCCGUCUGUUUUGUCUGAACUUUUCAAAAUCAAAAGUAAUGUCCAAGAAAUAUGGAAAUAUUACAUUCCAGGAAAAUGAAUUUUAAAGGAAGAAGUGCGGGACGGCGGAGCUUACGGGUGCCUCCCACUUUCUUCCUUUGCUUUUUCUUCUUCAUUUGCGGUCUUUUCGCUUCGAAGCUUCUCUCUCGUCAGGAGGUAUCAACUGGAUUACACCCAAAAUUAAAAGUGCAGGAGGAGAACAGAGAGUUUCAUCCAUUGUCGCAUGGUGAGACGGGAGAAGAUUCGUUAACUCAUAUUCCCUUUCAGGUUCUAAGUUGGAAACCUCGUGCGUUAUACUUCCCUGGUUUUGCAACGCCUGAACAGUGUGAAAGCAUAAUUAAGAUAGCAAAGGCAAGUCUUGAACCUUCAACCUUGGCUUUACGCAAGGGAGAAAAAGCAGAAAAUCUUAAAGGAAUUCGCACAAGCUCCGGGACAUUUAUAAAGGCAUCUGAAGACAAAAGUGGAACCUUGGACAUCAUUGAAGAUAAAAUAUCAAGCGCCACAAUGAUCCCUCGCACUCAUGGUGAGGCGUUUAACAUCUUACGGUAUGAGAUUGGACAGAAAUACAGGCCACAUUACGAUGCAUUCAACCCUAACAUAUAUGGACAAGUGAAGAGCCAGAGGGUUGCUUCUUUUUUGUUGUAUUUAUCCGAUGUUGAAGAAGGUGGAGAGACUAUGUUCCCGUAUGAGAAUGGAUUAAAUUAUGACAAUUACGAUCCUGAUGCGUGUGCUGGCUUAAAAGUAAAACCAAGAAAAGGCGACGGGCUUCUAUUUUAUUCUUUGUACCCAAAUGGGACAAUUGAUAAGGUAAGUUUUUUUUCCAAAAUUACCUAUUCAGAGCGGCAAUGGAAAUAUGCAAUAUUAGCUUCCUGGGAUCUCAUGCCAUAGGCUGAAGAUGCUGCACUGCUACAUAUCUACUCACAAGUAUAGUGAAGUACUAAUGCUCAUUGUGAAAUAUGCAUCACUUCACGGGAGCUGCCCUGUAAUUAGAGGGCAAAAAUGGGUGGCAACAAAGUGGCUCAGGAAUCAACUGUGGGUACCUAAAGGAGGGUGAGGUCCUGCCCUAAAGUUCUGAAUUUUACCUAGCAUUGAUCCUCUUGUCAUAUACUUUCUGCAUCCCACUUCGCGACAAGAAAAUAGAAUAAAACUGACCACCGGACUUGGUUGGUAAAGGAGGUCCAGGUUACUAACCGAUCAAAUUUUCAUAUUCAAAGCGGGGCUUGGUUAGUAAAUGUAACAAACUGAGGUCCAGGUUUAGUUGCUACCAACUCGGUUCAUUUAUACUCUCGAAUUGCCAUAAGCCAUUGCUGCUAACUCGAGAACUUGCUGGCACUUUAAUCAGAAAGUGUAAUCUGUAUUCUUGAGAGAACUACAAAUCUUGUCCUAAACAUAAGCCUAUAAACUAAAGAAAAGAGGCUUGAAAUGAAAUACUGUAGGCAACAAAUCAUCAAUGAUGAGUUCCUUAACCAGGAUUC